This is a long non-coding RNA of Poecilia latipinna (sailfin molly), 522 nucleotides long. RefSeq lists it as uncharacterized. The transcript is spliced from 2 exons. NCBI's taxonomy places the organism in Eukaryota, Metazoa, Chordata, Actinopteri, Cyprinodontiformes, Poeciliidae. The record is from RefSeq and is a predicted model, not a curated record.
CCGAUUCAUGCUGGUUCUGAUUAGCUAGCCAAUUAAUGCUGGCUCUGAUUUGCUAGCUGAUUAAUUCUAGCUCUGAUUGGCUGUCUGAUUAAUGCUGGCUCUGAUUGGCUAUCCGAUUCAUGCUGGCUCUGACUGGCUAUCCGAUUCAUGCUGGUUCUGAUUAGCUAGCCAAUUAAUGCUCUCUCUGAUUGGCUAGCUGAUUCAUGGUGGCUGAUUUGCUAGCUGAUUAAUGCUGGUUCUGUUUGGCUAGCUUAUUGCUGGGACUGAUUGGCUAUCUGAUCGACGCUGGCUCCUAUUGGCUAGCUGAUCGAUGAAAAGGUCCAGAGAGCAGAGAGACGCUGCUGGUUCUGGUUUAUAACUUCGCUGCAUUUGAUCUGAACUGAUGACUAGAGGAACCGUUGACCUCUGACCCCCUGGACAGGUCACAUGAUCACUAACAGCAUUCUGGGUCAGGAACAUUCAGAGACUCACCUGGCAGGAAAUAACCUUCAAAAUGAUAUAAAAGACCCGCACAGACGAUGA